GAGUUUGAUCGUGGCUCAGAGCGAACGCUGGCGGCAGGCUUAACACAUGCAAGUCGAGCGGGCGUAGCAAUACGUCAGCGGCAGACGGGUGAGUAACGCGUGGGAACGUACCUUUUGGUUCGGAACAACACGAGGGAAACUUGUGCUAAUACCGGAUAAGCCCGUUACGGGGAAAGAUUUAUCGCCGAAAGAUCGGCCCGCGUCUGAUUAGCUAGUUGGUGAGGUAAUGGCUCACCAAGGCGACGAUCAGUAGCUGGUCUGAGAGGAUGAUCAGCCACAUUGGGACUGAGACACGGCCCAAACUCCUACGGGAGGCAGCAGGUGGGGAAUAUUGGACAAGUGGGCGCAAGCCUGAUCCAGCCAUGCCGCGUGAGUGAUGAA
RNAcentral lists this ribosomal RNA (381 nucleotides) under uncultured Alphaproteobacteria bacterium. Its description in RNAcentral is "bacterial SSU rRNA". It matches the Rfam family "Bacterial small subunit ribosomal RNA", at positions 9 to 412 of the family's 1533-position model. Lineage: Bacteria; Pseudomonadati; Pseudomonadota; Alphaproteobacteria. The record is from RNAcentral.